This 276-nucleotide long non-coding RNA is filed under the name Elaeis guineensis (African oil palm). RNAcentral describes it as "long non-coding RNA (EGUI_LNC016087)". The record is from RNAcentral. Lineage: Eukaryota; Viridiplantae; Streptophyta; Magnoliopsida; Arecales; Arecaceae.
CUAUAAUUCAAUUAUGAACCAAGCUAGAUGGAUUCGAUCAUCCGGUACUUGACUAAUGAAACUCUACCAAUAGACCUUUUAGAAGCCAAAUGACUUAAAUGGAUAGCUUCACAAUAUAUUUUAAUGAAUGGCCAACUCUAUAAAAAGUCGUUCUCUCUUCCAUUACUAAAGUGUUUGAAACCAGCAGGUACCGACUAUGCACUCCGAGAAGUUCAUGAAAAAAUUUGUAAAAAUUACUUGGAGGGCAAAUCUUUAGCUUAUAAAGUCUUACGACAA